UACGGAGGAUCCAAGCGUUAUCCGGAUUUAUUGGGUUUAAAGGGUGCGUAGGCGGCUUUUUAAGUCAGGGGUGAAAGACGGUGGCUCAACCAUCGCAGUGCCUUUGAUACUGAAGAGCUUGAUUAGACUUGAGGUAGGCGGAAUGUGACAAGUAGCGGUGAAAUGCAUAGAUAUGUCACAGAACACCGAUUGCGAAGGCAGCUUACUAAGGUUUGAAUGACGCUGAGGCACGAAAGCGUGGGGAUCAAACAGG
Molecule: ribosomal RNA, 253 nt
Filed under: uncultured bacterium
Lineage: Bacteria
Description: partial 16S ribosomal RNA
Rfam family: Bacterial small subunit ribosomal RNA
Source: RNAcentral